AAUCCAUGCUGUGGACAUAGGUGAAGUAUCCCUUCAGACCUUUCCCACACUUCAUAACAGCAUUUUGAGUUCAAUUGAGUGAAAACAAUGAUUCCGUUUCUUAGCUU
This 107-nucleotide small nucleolar RNA is filed under the name Olea europaea subsp. europaea. RNAcentral's name for it is "Plant small nucleolar RNA R71". It matches the Rfam family "Plant small nucleolar RNA R71". Rfam says of the family: R71 is a member of the C/D box family of snoRNAs containing the C (UGAUGA) and D (CUGA) box motifs. Lineage: Eukaryota; Viridiplantae; Streptophyta; Magnoliopsida; Lamiales; Oleaceae. The record is from Rfam by way of RNAcentral.